Molecule: ribosomal RNA, 253 nt
Filed under: uncultured bacterium
Lineage: Bacteria
Description: partial 16S ribosomal RNA
Rfam family: Bacterial small subunit ribosomal RNA
Source: RNAcentral
UACGUAGGGCGCAAGCGUUGUCCGGAAUUAUUGGGCGUAAAGAGCUCGUAGGCGGUCUGUUGCGUCCGCUGUGAAAACCCAGGGCUUAACCCUGGGCUGGCAGUGGAUACGGACAGACUAGAGGUAGGUAGGGGAGAAUGGAAUUCCCGGUGUAGCGGUGAAAUGCGCAGAUAUCGGGAGGAACACCGGUGGCGAAGGCGGUUCUCUGGGCCUUACCUGACGCUGAGGAGCGAAAGCGUGGGGAGCGAACAGG